This 1512-nucleotide ribosomal RNA is filed under the name uncultured bacterium. RNAcentral describes it as "bacterial SSU rRNA". It matches the Rfam family "Bacterial small subunit ribosomal RNA". The record is from RNAcentral.
AAGAGUUUGAUCCUGGCUCAGGACGAACGCUGGCGGCGUGCCUAAUACAUGCAAGUCGAGCGAACGGAUGGGAGCUUGCUCCCUGAAGUUAGCGGCGGACGGGUGAGUAACACGUGGGCAACCUGCCUGUAAGACCGGGAUAACUUGCGGAAACGUGAGCUAAUACCGGAUAAUCUCCAACUUCGCAUGAAGUUGGACUGAAAGACGGCGCAAGCUGUCACUUACAGAUGGGCCCGCGGCGCAUUAGCUAGUUGGUGAGGUAAUGGCUCACCAAGGCAACGAUGCGUAGCCGACCUGAGAGGGUGAUCGGCCACACUGGGACUGAGACACGGCCCAGACUCCUACGGGAGGCAGCAGUAGGGAAUCUUCCGCAAUGGACGCAAGUCUGACGGAGCAACGCCGCGUGAGCGAUGAAGGUCUUCGGAUCGUAAAGCUCUGUUGUCAGGGAAGAACAAGUAUCGGAGUAACUGCCGGUACCUUGACGGUACCUGACCAGAAAGCCACGGCUAACUACGUGCCAGCAGCCGCGGUAAUACGUAGGUGGCAAGCGUUGUCCGGAAUUAUUGGGCGUAAAGCGCGCGCAGGCGGUCCUUUAAGUCUGAUGUGAAAGCCCCCGGCUCAACCGGGGAGGGUCAUUGGAAACUGGGGGACUUGAGUGCAGAAGAGAAGAGCGGAAUUCCACGUGUAGCGGUGAAAUGCGUAGAGAUGUGGAGGAACACCAGUGGCGAAGGCGGCUCUUUGGUCUGUAACUGACGCUGAGGCGCGAAAGCGUGGGGAGCGAACAGGAUUAGAUACCCUGGUAGUCCACGCCGUAAACGAUGAGUGCUAAGUGUUAGAGGGUUUCCGCCCUUUAGUGCUGCAGCAAACGCAUUAAGCACUCCGCCUGGGGAGUACGGCCGCAAGGCUGAAACUCAAAGGAAUUGACGGGGGCCCGCACAAGCGGUGGAGCAUGUGGUUUAAUUCGAAGCAACGCGAAGAACCUUACCAGGUCUUGACAUCCUCUGACCACCCUGGAGACAGGGUUUUCCCCUUCGGGGGACAGAGUGACAGGUGGUGCAUGGUUGUCGUCAGCUCGUGUCGUGAGAUGUUGGGUUAAGUCCCGCAACGAGCGCAACCCUUGAGAUUAGUUGCCAGCAUUCAGUUGGGCACUCUAAUCUGACUGCCGGUGACAAACCGGAGGAAGGUGGGGAUGACGUCAAAUCAUCAUGCCCCUUAUGACCUGGGCUACACACGUGCUACAAUGGAUGGUACAAAGGGCAGCGAAACCGCGAGGUAGAGCGAAUCCCAUAAAGCCAUUCUCAGUUCGGAUUGCAGGCUGCAACUCGCCUGCAUGAAGCCGGAAUCGCUAGUAAUCGCGGAUCAGAAUGCCGCGGUGAAUACGUUCCCGGGCCUUGUACACACCGCCCGUCACACCACGAGAGUUUGCAACACCCGAAGUCGGUGAGGUAACCGCAAGGGGCCAGCCGCCGAAGGUGGGGCAGAUGAUUGGGGUGAAGUCGUAACAAGGUAACC